CAGUAGCCGCGGGAAUACGUAGGGUGCGAGCGUUAACCGGAAUUACUGGGCGUAAAGCGUGCGCAGGCGGUUGUGUAAGACAGGUGUGAAAUCCCCGGGCUUAACCUGGGAACUGCGCUUGUGACUGCACAGCUAGAGUAUGGCAGAGGGGGGUGGAAUUCCACGUGUAGCAGUGAAAUGCGUAGAGAUAUGGAGGAACACCGAUGGCGAAGGCAGCCCCCUGGGCCAAUACUGACGCUCAUGCACGAAAGCGUGGGGAGCAAACAGGAUUAGAUACCCCUGUAGUCCCUGUCUCUUAUAC
RNAcentral lists this ribosomal RNA (301 nucleotides) under uncultured bacterium. RNAcentral's name for it is "partial 16S ribosomal RNA". It matches the Rfam family "Bacterial small subunit ribosomal RNA", at positions 509 to 807 of the family's 1533-position model. The record is from RNAcentral.